This 67-nucleotide transfer RNA is filed under the name Neodiprion huizeensis. RNAcentral's name for it is "tRNA-Ser". The record is from RNAcentral. Lineage: Eukaryota; Metazoa; Arthropoda; Insecta; Hymenoptera; Diprionidae.
AAUCAAUGAACUUGAAUAAGUUUAUGUUUUGAAAACAUAAUAUAAAAGUUUAACCUUUUAUUGAUUU